GAUGAACGCUGGCGGCGUGCCUAAUACAUGCAAGUCGAGCGAACGGACGAGAAGCUUGCUUCUCUGAUGUUAGCGGCGGACGGGUGAGUAACACGUGUAUAACCUACCUAUAAGACUGGGAUAACUUCGGGAAACCGGAGCUAAUACCGGAUGAUAUUUUGAACCGCAUGGUUCAAAAGUGAAAGACGGUCUUGCUGUCACUUAUAGAUGGAUCCGCGCUGCAUUAGCUAGUUGGUAAGGUAACGGCUUACCAAGGCAACGAUGCAUAGCCGACCUGAGAGGCUGAUCGGCCACACUGGAACUGAGACACGGUCCAGACUCCUACGGGAGGCAGCAGUAGGGAAUCUGCCGCAAUGGGCGAAAGCCUGACGGAGCAACGCCGCGUGAGUGAUGAAGGUCUUCGGAUCGUAAAACUCUGUUAUUAGGGAAGAACAUAUGUGUAAGUAACUGUGCACAUCUUGACGGUACCUAAUCAGAAAGCCACGGCUAACUACGUG
Molecule: ribosomal RNA, 497 nt
Filed under: uncultured bacterium
Lineage: Bacteria
Description: partial 16S ribosomal RNA
Rfam family: Bacterial small subunit ribosomal RNA
Source: RNAcentral